This 22-nucleotide small RNA is filed under the name Arabidopsis thaliana (thale cress). RNAcentral's name for it is "Ath_wt_04671". The record is from RNAcentral. Lineage: Eukaryota; Viridiplantae; Streptophyta; Magnoliopsida; Brassicales; Brassicaceae.
CGCCUCUAAGUCAGAAUCCGGG